Molecule: ribosomal RNA, 819 nt
Filed under: bacterium enrichment culture clone bHCH1_C12
Lineage: Bacteria
Description: bacterial SSU rRNA
Rfam family: Bacterial small subunit ribosomal RNA
Source: RNAcentral
GGUAUUUCUAAUUGGCGGAACGGGUGAGUAACGCGUGAGCGACCUGACCUAAAGAGGGGGAUAACAUCGAGAAAUCGAUGCUAAUACCGCAUAAGACCACGGUAUCGCAUGGUACAGAGGUCAAAGGAGCAAUCCGCUUUAGGAGGGGCUCGCGUCCCAUUAGGUAGUAGGCGGGGUAACGGCCCACCUAGUCAACGAUGGGUAGCCGAGCUGAGAGGCUGAUCGGCCACACUGGAACUGAGACACGGUCCAGACUCCUACGGGAGGCAGCAGUGGGGAAUAUUGGGCAAUGGGCGAAAGCCUGACCCAGCAACGCCGCGUGAGGGAAGAAGGUUUUCGGAUUGUAAACCUCUGUCGCAGAUGACGAAGGAAGUGACGGUAAUCUGUGAGGAAGCCCCGGCUAACUACGUGCCAGCAGCCGCGGUAAUACGUAGGGGGCGAGCGUUGUCCGGAAUUACUGGGCGUAAAGGGUGCGUAGGCGGUUAAUUAAGUUGGAUGUGAAAUACCCGGGCUUAACCUGGGGGGUGCAUUCAAAACUGGUUAACUAGAGUUCAGGAGAGGGAAGCGGAAUUCCUAGUGUAGCGGUGAAAAUGCGUAGAUAUUAGGAGGAACACCCAGUGGCGAAGGCGGGCUUUCUGGACUGACACUGACGCUGAGGCCACGAAAGCGUGGGGGAGCACACAGGAUUAGAUACCCUGGGUAGUCCACGCGGUAAACGAUGAAUACUAGGUGUAGGGGGGUAUCAACUUCCCUCUGUGCCGCAUGCAAAACGCAAUAAGUAUUUCCGCCUGGGGAGUACAGCCGCAAGGUUGAAACUUC